Molecule: ribosomal RNA, 400 nt
Filed under: uncultured bacterium
Lineage: Bacteria
Description: bacterial SSU rRNA
Rfam family: Bacterial small subunit ribosomal RNA
Source: RNAcentral
GGGGAAUCUUAGACAAUGGGCGCAAGCCCGAUCUAGCCAUGCCGCGUGAGCGAUGAAGGCCUUAGGGUUGUAAAGCUCUUUCGCUGGGGAAGAUAAUGACUGUACCCAGUAAAGAAGCCCCGGCUAACUCCGUGCCAGCAGCCGCGGUAAUACGGAGGGGGCUAGCGUUGUUCGGAAUUACUGGGCGUAAAGCGCGCGUAGGCGGAUUGGAAAGUUGGGGGUGAAAUCCCGGGGCUCAACCUCGGAACUGCCUUCAAAACUCCCAGUCUUGAGUUCGAGAGAGGUGAGUGGAAUUCCGAGUGUAGAGGUGAAAUUCGUAGAUAUUCGGAGGAACACCAGUGGCGAAGGCGGCUCACUGGCUCGAUACUGACGCUGAGGUGCGAAAGCGUGGGGAGCAAAC